This 773-nucleotide ribosomal RNA is filed under the name Drosophila flavomontana. RNAcentral's name for it is "partial 16S ribosomal RNA". Lineage: Eukaryota; Metazoa; Arthropoda; Insecta; Diptera; Drosophilidae. The record is from RNAcentral.
AUUAUGCUACCUUUGCACAGUUAAAAUACUGCGGCCAUUUAAAAACUUUCAGUGGGCAGGUUAGACUUUAAAUUUAUUUCAAAAAGACAUGUUUUUGUUAAACAGGCGGAUAUAAUUUUAGCCGAAUUCUUUACUUAAACUUAUCAUUUAAAUUUAUUUUACAAUAAAAUAUACUAAUUCUAUCAUUAUUACUUAAUUUUAAAAAUUAAAAUUAAUAUUUCAAUAAAAAUUUAAAAUAUAAUAAAUAAUUUAAUUUAUAAAAUAAAUUAUAACAUAAUUUUAAAUAAUUGCUAAUUCUAAGCAUAUAUUUUUUAAAUUUAUUUAUUAUUUAUAAAAAUUUAUUUUAUAGCUUAUCCCAUAAAAUAUUAAAAUUAUAAUUAUUUAACUAAAAAAUUUUUUAAAUAAAUUUAUAAUUUCUAAAUUAAAUUUAUUUCUUGAAAAACUAGAUACCUUUAAAAACGAAUAACAUUUCAUUUCUAAUAUAAUAUUAAAAAUAAUUUUAUUACAUUAACUUUUAUAUUAUAUUAACUCUUUUAAAAUCGAGAAAAAUAUAUUUAAAUAUUUUUUAUUUAAUAAACGCUGAUACACAAGGUACGAUAAAUUAAAUCUUCUUUUAAAAUAAAAAUUUUUCAAAAUAUUUCAAUUUUCUUUUACAAUACUACUAAACUAUUAUUAAAAUUAUUUUUUCUUUAAACAAUACUAAAAACUUUUUCUUAUAAAAUUAUUUUUAAUAUUUUUAUUCAAAAUUAAUAAAAUUAAUAAAUAAAAUCUAA